Nymphaea colorata (pocket water lily) is the source of this 1335-nucleotide long non-coding RNA. RefSeq lists it as uncharacterized. Lineage: Eukaryota; Viridiplantae; Streptophyta; Magnoliopsida; Nymphaeales; Nymphaeaceae. The record is from RefSeq and is a predicted model, not a curated record. The transcript has 5 exons.
CAGAAGUUUCCUUUCCGUCUCUUGCCUCUCCCGCGCUUCCAGCCCUCAACCCACGACCGCUCGCUCUCCCGCCGGCGCUUUCCACCACCACCGCUGCUCGCUCUCCAGCAGGCAACCUCCACCACCACCGUCGUGCCCCGAAGUGAAUGGCAAUUUGCGAGCGAGGGUUUUAAUCGAGGAGUCUCGAUUCAUCUCAAGCUGCAUUAUCUACGAUGGAUGCUGCAGCUUCCAAUAAAAGUACAUUAAAAAAAGGAGGUCAAGUAUCUAGAGGUUGAGGAACAAGCUUUCUUGUACGUGUGGAGGCUCUGAAUCAAAGAUUGUUUUACACAACAGCGCAUUUGCUCUCCACGCAUCUGCAGGAAAUUGAAUCCCUUCGCUCUGUUAUUCCUAAGUCACUAUUGCGUGUUUUGUCUGCCGCAUGCAAGGCAUUGUUUGAUCGAUGCUGCAUUUCCUUAUUCCUUAUAAGGUCGUGCAUCGUGGAACUCUUGGAUGAGAAUAAACACCUUGUGUGCUCACAGGUACUCUUCUAUCUCUACUUUCUAUGGAAUGUCCGGAACGAGAUUGAGUUGCGUGCACGAAAACAAAGUGGAGAACUUCCCAUUGUCAUAUGCAAGUAAUCUCUUGAACUCUCCAAAGCAGCAUUAAGGUCCCUUGAUACUGCAUCAGCCAACCCAAGACUAUAAGCCACUUCUGGGUUCUCUCUCUCAAUCAUGGCCUCUCUUCAAGACAGCCAGCCUUCUUCCACAAUACAGGAAGCGAUUACUGUGCCGUAUGGAACAUCUCCUGUAAUUUGCAGUCUCCAAAAACACCAACAGGCAAGCCUUUAAGGUAAUGCAUCUUUGACUGUGUCCAGGAUAGAAUUGCACUACUCGGCAGCCUCUGUCAAAUCACAAACAGAAGGUGAGUCUUCUAUGGUUCACAUUCAUUGAAUUCUGAAAUCAACUUACCCAAAAGAAAAAAGAAAAAGCAAAACGUGUGAAGUUUAUAGAAAACAAAAACUGAGAAAGAGAACAAAAACAUGCUUACAAGCAUUCAUAGGAAUUGUCAACAUAUUUAUUACCACAUGAAAUUUUGAAGUUAGGCAAUAUAUAAUCAAUUUGUUCGUUUAACUCUAAUAGUAACGUUCUUUUACAACGGAAGAAAGUUGAAACUGUCUAGACCGUAAAAGGUUACAUGAAAAGAAGGAGAAAAGCAUUUAUUUGAAGCGUCAGUAUAAAAAAUGCAAUAAAGAGGAAAAGAUAUGGAAAGAGAAGCAAGCCGCAAAAAAGGAAAAAAAGCCUCCUUACACGUGUAUGUACUGCUCCGCAUUUGAAUCACCACACAAUUGAUCAAUGU